GUGCUUGCUUCGGCAGCACAUAUACUAAAACUGGAAAGAUACAGAGAUUAGCAUGGCCCCAUGCACAUGGAUAGCAUCCAAUAAAAAUAAAUAAAUCUUAAAAAA
Small nuclear RNA from Ochotona curzoniae (black-lipped pika), 105 nucleotides. NCBI's taxonomy places the organism in Eukaryota, Metazoa, Chordata, Mammalia, Lagomorpha, Ochotonidae. The record is from RefSeq and is a predicted model, not a curated record.